RNAcentral lists this ribosomal RNA (441 nucleotides) under uncultured bacterium. Its description in RNAcentral is "bacterial SSU rRNA". It matches the Rfam family "Bacterial small subunit ribosomal RNA", at positions 958 to 1398 of the family's 1533-position model. The record is from RNAcentral.
AACGCGAAGAACCUUACCUGGGCUCGAAAUGUAGUGGAAUCGGGUGGAAACAUCCGCGCCCCUUAAAAGGCUGCUAUAUAGGUGCUGCAUGGCUGUCGUCAGCUCGUGUCGUGAGAUGUUGGGUUAAGUCCCGCAACGAGCGCAACCCUUAUUGCCAGUUGCCACCGGGUUAUGCCGAGCACUCUGGCGAAACCGCGCGGGAUAACCGCGAGGAAGGUGGGGAUGACGUCAAGUCCUCAUGGCCUUUAUGUCCAGGGCUACACACGUGCUACAAUGGUGGUGACAGUGGGAUGCAAAGGGGCGACCCCUCGCAAAUCUCCAAAAGCCAUCUCAGUUCAGAUUGCACUCUGCAACUCGAGUGCAUGAAGGUGGAAUCGCUAGUAAUCGUAGAUCAGCAUGCUACGGUGAAUACGUUCCCGGGCCUUGUACACACCGCGCAUA